Long non-coding RNA from Numida meleagris (helmeted guineafowl), 1729 nucleotides. RefSeq lists it as uncharacterized. The record is from RefSeq and is a predicted model, not a curated record. NCBI's taxonomy places the organism in Eukaryota, Metazoa, Chordata, Aves, Galliformes, Numididae. The transcript has 5 exons.
CUCGCCUUUCCGCUCGACCUCUCCAGGUUGUCGAUGGGCAGCAAACGGAAAUGGGCGAAUAUAAUUAUUUUUGGACGUAAAAGUUAGCACACGAGCAGCGUGACAUCCUGUGCGUGGUGUACCUCCAGAGCCACACCGAUCUACCUCUGCACACACUGCAUCUGCGUCAGCCUUGAGAGCAUGCAGUCCUUUAGACACUGGCAUUUACCUCACAGUCUGCGUGGCAGCUCCGCGUCGCACUGGCAUUGAUACUGCUGGGAACUGCUGCAAGCACUAAUAAAUCAGGAGCACGUGAAUUGCCAGGGAGGCAGCAGCAGCAAGAACUGCCUUGAGAAACAGCAGAAUGAAAGAGAUGCAAGGUGCCCAGAUGAGGCUGAAAUGGAUCACUCGAUGACAAAGCUGAAGUGCGAGCAGUCGGAGAAAUGAAUCAAAGGAUGGAAUGCUCCUUGCCAAUUUCUGUUUCCUUACUUCACUACUGAGAACAGUAAAUCAGCUCACAGUUACCACUGUCCUUCUCCACCGUGUACGCUGCCACUUCAACUACAGGUUUCCACUACCAUUGAACAUACAUCAAAGAAACAGUCAGGAGCAUUAUAAAAAAGAGUAUAUACAUUUCAAAAAUUUCUUUUCCAUUCUCUCUUUUAAUUUUAAUAUUCUGCAAAAACUCCUAAGGAAUACUGGACUGUAAAAUAGCUUGAAGAUCUAUCAUGAUCAUUUGUGAUAUUUUUAUCUUUGCUAUUGUUUUUGUGUCAUAUUAAGAAUCAAAUUUUCAAGGCUUGCCAAAAGAAAUGUGUAGGUUUCUGCCUGGACUUGGAAAAAUACUUUGGCAGGUAAAUAUGGCAAGUAAAUAUGCUGAAACAGGGCACGCCUACCUCUCACUGGUAUUUCUGGAAGAGGCAUUUACCCUGAACAUGAUUUUAGAAAGAAGCUUGACCCUUAGUGUGUUUGGGAAUCUACGUGCCUUGAACAAACUGCUCUCAUUUUACUGAAGGUGAAUAAUUCCCGAGGUUUGCUUAGAAAUUUAAGACAUACCACAGUAGAAGUAUUGGAGAACAUGCAGAAUAUGUAAUCAUUUUUUAAAAAGAGAUUGACAGACACUGUGACCUUUCUCGGUCGACAUCAUCUGACAUCUUAUUGGAAAAAAAUCGCAGUAAAUGAACUGUGUGUGAGAGAGGUGGAGGGCUGGAAGGUGUUCCAGCACGGGUUUGGGAGGGCAGGUCACGGUGCAUGGUUUGCUGCAUGGAUCUGCCAGCACAGGCAGAUCCCAGUGGCAGAAUCUGACAAAUUGGCAAACAAAUCCACUGCGUUGUGGGGGAGAUAAGCAGCAGUGUGAUGAGACAUAAAAAGUCAGUAACGUCAGAAUUGUGGUCCGGGAAUAGCAUAGCUGCUGUUAUUUUGUAUAUACUCGAUUGAGGGGGGGAUAUGCGUAACAGAUGGCCUGAAAACAGCAGUUUUGAAUUAAUCAGGAUGCAAGAUUAUGAGGAUGUAGAUGACAGAUUUAGUGUGUAGAUGGUGAAAAACUAGAUAUGAGAAGCAUUACAGUGGAAGGAGUAGCAAGCCUUGCUUGUAGGCUUAGAAUUGAGUCGGAAAGGUCUUCUGGAGGUCAUCAAAUCCAUCCCGUUGUUCAGAGCAGGGCUGGCAUUCAAGUCACAGAGGGCCUUCUCCGGAUGAAUUCUGUCUUCAAGGAUGAAUCAUAGAAUUACAGAAUCACCGUGGUUGGAAAAGGCCU